ACGAACGCUGGCGGCGUGCCUAACACAUGCAAGUCGAACGGGACCAGGGGCAACUCUGGUUCAGUGGCGAACGGGUGCGUAACACGUGAAGAACUUGUCCUUCGGCGGGGGAUAGCCGGCCCAACGGCCGGGUAAUACCGCGUACGACCGGACCGGGGCAUCCCGGACCGGUGAAAGCAGCAAUGCACCGAUGGAGAGCUUCGCGGCCUAUCAGCUAGUUGGUGAGGUAACGGCUCACCAAGGCGACGACGGGUAGCUGGUCUGAGAGGAUGAUCAGCCACAUUGGGACUGAGACACGGCCCAGACUCCUACGGGAGGCAGCAGUGGGGAAUAUUGCGCAAUGGGCGAAAGCCUGACGCAGCGACGCCGCGUGUGGGAUGACGGCCUUCGGGUUGUAAACCACUGUCGGGAGGGACGAAGAUCUGACGGUACCUCCAAAGGAAGCACCGGCUAACUCUGU
This 460-nucleotide ribosomal RNA is filed under the name uncultured bacterium. Its description in RNAcentral is "bacterial SSU rRNA". It matches the Rfam family "Bacterial small subunit ribosomal RNA", at positions 29 to 506 of the family's 1533-position model. The record is from RNAcentral.